GUGAGGAAUCUUGCGCAAUGGGGGAAACCCUGACGCAGCAACGCCGCGUGAGCGAAGAAGGCCUUCGGGUCGUAAAGCUCUGUCUAGUGGGAAAAAAGUCCUGGUGUAAAUAGCUCCAGGAUCUGAUGGUACCGCUGGAGGAAGCACCGGCUAACUCCGUGCCAGCAGCCGCGGUAAUACGGAGGGUGCAAGCGUUGUUCGGAAUUAUUGGGCGUAAAGGGCGUGUAGGCGGUUUGGUAAGUCAGAUGUGAAAGCCCUGGGCUUAACCCAGGAAGUGCAUUUGAAACUACCAGACUUGAGUAUGGGAGAGGAGAGUGGAAUUCCCAGUGUAGAGGUGAAAUUCGUAGAUAUUGGGAGGAACAUCCGUGGCGAAGGCGACUCUCUGGACCAAUACUGACGCUGAGACGCGAAAGCGUGGGGAGCAAACAGGAUUAGAAACCCUUGUAGUCC
RNAcentral lists this ribosomal RNA (450 nucleotides) under uncultured bacterium. Its description in RNAcentral is "bacterial SSU rRNA". It matches the Rfam family "Bacterial small subunit ribosomal RNA", at positions 354 to 796 of the family's 1533-position model. The record is from RNAcentral.